This is a long non-coding RNA of Bubalus bubalis (water buffalo), 1194 nucleotides long. RefSeq lists it as uncharacterized. NCBI's taxonomy places the organism in Eukaryota, Metazoa, Chordata, Mammalia, Artiodactyla, Bovidae. The record is from RefSeq and is a predicted model, not a curated record. The transcript is spliced from 2 exons.
CCGCGGCACCCGGGCUGGGGAGCGCCGCGCGAGCCCCGAGCCCAGACGCCCCCUCACCCAGCCCCACAAGCCCAGGCACAGGGGCGAGGGCCCGGACCCCACGACCCGGACCAGGGUUCGCCGUCUGAGAGGCGAGGGGUCCCUGCCACCCACCGGCUCCCAGCCUGCGGUCGCGCACAGGCGUGUGCCAUACGUGUGCUAAGAGCCCGCCCUGCCCGGGCCACGGGCGCCCCGGGUCUCCCCGGCCCGGUCACCUGGGGCCACGGCUUCGUGCUUCCUUCCGACUCAGUUUACCACCUGGGUGGCGGAGCCUGAUUCUCGGAGUAAAAGCCAGACGAAGACCCUUUGGUGCCGCCCCGGGUGACUGUCCAUCUCAGAGCUGAAACCUGCAUGCCCUCCCAACCCCUAGUUCCCUCUGCAAGCCUGCCUCGUGGGAAGCCCCAGAUCCUUGUCCAUAACAGACCAGAUGAGGCCAGAAAGGUCUUGUUCACUUCACAGAUGAAGAAACGGGAACUCCGAGAGGCUUGUGAUGUGCCCAGAGGCAGAGCUACCAUGAAUCUAAUACAACUGAUGUCCCAGAGUUCCACAGGGUCUCAGCAAUGAGUUCACAUAGUCAGAUGGUAUUGGUAAUUUGGUGGAAUACUACAGUUGAUCUGCAAUCAAUUAUGGCUUCUGCUCUUUUCCACUCUGGUGUGCAUGAUGGGUUCUGAUGUGCAUUUGGGGCUCUGACUCAGGAUCCCCCAAAGCAAGUGAGAGAUGAAUCUAUACCUCACUCAUUAGAUUUGGGAUUGGUGAGGUAUGUUUUUUUGCAGCCAUCCCAGCAUAGGGAAUGGCUGUAGGAAUACGACCACCCAUUGCACCAACUUACUUGGCUUUGUGACACAAAGUUGUAGGGCCCAAGUCGAAUCACAGCAUGAUAUGGCUUAAGACGUCUGUACUAGAGAUGUGUGUCAUGGAAGAGAAACCAGGUCAGAAAUGUAUGGAGCCAGGAGCUGGUUGGUGAAAUUGUGAGCAGAAAAAUUGUGUAAGAAAAAUGUUUUUAAGGCAUUUAGAGGUGUGUCAGGUAGUGAGUUCACACAAAUACUGUGAUUUGCCCAGAUUGUGUGAGGUCUGUGGUAUUUGUCAGUUGUUUCAGAAUUUGUAAUUUGCAGCAAUUUUCUUUUUAGCACCCUAAAUAAUCAUGUUUGUCCCUCA